This is a non-coding RNA of Mycena epipterygia, 89 nucleotides long. The record is from the annotation of a GenBank genome assembly. Lineage: Eukaryota; Fungi; Basidiomycota; Agaricomycetes; Agaricales; Mycenaceae.
AGCAGUGUGGUGUAGUGCGCACACGGGUUCUUCUUAAGGCCAAGUCGAAUUCUACUCCCGAGGUCCUUGUUCGAGUCAAGGUGCUGCUG